Molecule: ribosomal RNA, 477 nt
Filed under: uncultured anaerobic ammonium-oxidizing bacterium
Lineage: Bacteria
Description: bacterial SSU rRNA
Rfam family: Bacterial small subunit ribosomal RNA
Source: RNAcentral
UUCGCAAUGCCCGAAAGGGUGACGAAGCGACGCCGCGUGAGCGAAGAAGGCCCUAGGGUUGUAAAGCUCUGUUGGGGGUUAUGAAAUGCAGGUUGGUUAAUACCCAACCUGUUUGACAAAGGCCCCAAAGGGAGCCACGGCUAACUCUGUGCCAGCAGCCGCGGUAAUACAGAGGUGGCAAGCGUUGUUCGGUAUUAUUGGGCGUAAAGAGCACGUAGGUGGAUUUGUAAGUCAGACGUGAAAGCCUUCUGUUCAACGGAAGAAUUGCAUCUGAAACUACAAACCUUGAGUGUAGGAGGGGAGAAUGGAACUUCUGGUGGAGCGGUGAAAUGCGUAGAUAUCAGGAGGAACGCCGGAGGCGAAAGCGACUCUCUGGUCUGCAACUGACGCUGAGUGUGCGAAAGCUAGGGGGGCGAACGGGAUUAGAUACCCCGGUAGUCCUAGCCCUAAACGAUGGGCACUAAGUAGAGGGGUUUU